UACGGAGGGUGCAAGCGUUAUCCGGAUUUACUGGGUUUAAAGGGUGCGUAGGUGGGUAUAUAAGUUUGGGGUGAAAUGUCAUAGCUCAACUAUGAGAUUGCCUUGGAUACUGUAUAUCUUGAAUAUAGUAGGGAUAACUGGAAUAUGUCAAGUAGCGGUAAAAUGCAUAGAUAUGACAUAGAACACCGAUAGUGAAGACGAGUUAUUUGGCUAUAAUUGACACUGAGGCACGAAAGCGUGGGUAGCGAACAGG
Molecule: ribosomal RNA, 253 nt
Filed under: uncultured bacterium
Lineage: Bacteria
Description: partial 16S ribosomal RNA
Rfam family: Bacterial small subunit ribosomal RNA
Source: RNAcentral